GGACUCUCAACAUAAGCAGACAGCUAAAAAUCCCCAAGAUCAUCAAUCAUCAGCAUGGCGCAGCGAGAAUUGAGUGAGCUGAAAUACUCAAUGAUGGUGUUUGGGGACCCCCUUAACUCUCACCAGACAUUUAUGGACCAACUCGGGCAACGUCUCAGUGUGGUUGAAGAGUCUUCAAUAGUUAGAAGUGACGUCAUCAUUGCUUUUGUUGCUGGAACAGAUAUUAAAGCUGCUCUUCAGGAAAUUCCACAAGAAGGGUCUAAGCCUAUUGUUCUGGUGGUGCUCCACCACACCACUGAGAAAGAUUCUAUGAAUCUGAACAGGCGGUCUGUUAACAGACAGCAAGUGUUUAUUGUGGACUGCCUGUUUUAUGGCGACCAAGGCUUCCUGACAUGUCAGAGCAACGACAAGGCUCUGAAAGCAGUAACUCUUCAUUUGGUCGCUUUAGGAGCUUCAGAAAGGUCAAUGCCUAAGGAUACUAUUGGCCUGUUCCAAAGUGUCCUUCACUUCUUCGUUAAAAUACUGGGUGGCUUUCUCGUUGCUGUGGGAUUUGAUUUUGUUAUUCAUUUGUUUAGAAGAAGACGUUAGAAGAAGAUGUUCUGACUGCAGCUCUGCAGUAACAUUUGUGAUAUCAAUCUGUACUCUGAUAUGUAAUUCAUUAAAUAUCUGUUUAAAAGCUGAAUGAAUGUGUUUGCCUCAUGCAUAUAAAGAGUUCUGACCCCAGAUUUGACCAGGAAAUCAUCUCUGUUGUCAGUGGAAUAUGUUUGCACUCUAACUGUGAAUAUUUAUACUGAAAACUGAAUCUCUUGGCAUCUUUAUACUGUUAAUCUGUAACCAAUGCUUUUCCUCAUGCAUGAAUCUGUAAUGUGUAAGUGUUUAAAAUAAUGUAAAACUAAUAAUAAUUGAUAAUGUGGAGUUUUUGUAAAAGCCUAAAUAAAUGAU
RNAcentral lists this long non-coding RNA (942 nucleotides) under Astyanax mexicanus (Mexican tetra). Its description in RNAcentral is "lncRNA (ENSAMXG00005007494.1)". Lineage: Eukaryota; Metazoa; Chordata; Actinopteri; Characiformes; Acestrorhamphidae. The record is from RNAcentral.